RNAcentral lists this ribosomal RNA (917 nucleotides) under Francisella endosymbiont of Dermacentor variabilis. RNAcentral's name for it is "bacterial SSU rRNA". It matches the Rfam family "Bacterial small subunit ribosomal RNA", at positions 202 to 1099 of the family's 1533-position model. Lineage: Bacteria; Pseudomonadati; Pseudomonadota; Gammaproteobacteria; Thiotrichales; Francisellaceae. The record is from RNAcentral.
UAAAGGUGGCUUUUGGGCUGUCGCAGAUGGAUGAGCCUGCGUUGGAUUAGCUAGUUGGUGAGGUAAGGGCCUACCAAGGCUACGAUCCAUAGCUGAUUUGAGAGGAUGAUCAGCCACAUUGGGACUGAGACACGGCCCAAACUCCUACGGGAGGCAGCAGUGAGGAAUAUUGGACAAUGGGGGCAACCCUGAUCCAGCAAUGCCAUGUGUGUGAAGAAGGCCUUAGGGUUGUAAAGCACUUUAGUUGGGGAAGAAAGCUUUGAGGUUAAUAGCCUUGAGGAAAAGGACGUUACCCAAAGAAUAAGCACCGGCUAACUCCGUGCCAGCAGCCGCGGUAAUACGGGGGGUGCAAGCGUUAAUCGGAAUUACUGGGCGUAAAGGGUCUGUAGGUGGUUUGUUAAGUCAGAUGUGAAAGCCUAGGGCUCAACCUUGGAACUGCAUUUGAUACUGGUAAACUAGAGUACGGUAGAGGAAUGGGGAAUUUCUGGUGUAGCGGUGAAAUGCGUAGAGAUCAGAAGGAACACCAAUGGCGAAGGCAACAUUCUGGACCGAUACUGACACUGAGGGACGAAAGCGUGGGGAUCAAACAGGAUUAGAUACCCUGGUAGUCCACGCUGUAAACGAUGAGUACUAGCUGUUGGAGUCGGUGUAAAGGCUCUAGUGGCGCAGCUAACGCGAUAAGUACUCCGCCUGGGGACUACGGCCGCAAGGCUAAAACUCAAAGGAAUUGACGGGGACCCGCACAAGCGGUGGAGCAUGUGGUUUAAUUCGAUGCAACGCGAAGAACCUUACCUGGUCUUGACAUCCUGCGAUCUUUCUAGAGAUAGAUUGGUGCCUUCGGGAACGCAGUGACAGGUGCUGCACGGCUGUCGUCAGCUCGUGUUGUGAAAUGUUGGGUUAAGUCCCGCAACGAGCGC